This 1522-nucleotide ribosomal RNA is filed under the name Salmonella enterica. Its description in RNAcentral is "bacterial SSU rRNA". It matches the Rfam family "Bacterial small subunit ribosomal RNA". Lineage: Bacteria; Pseudomonadati; Pseudomonadota; Gammaproteobacteria; Enterobacterales; Enterobacteriaceae. RNAcentral also lists the same sequence under 4 other names. The record is from RNAcentral.
AGAGUUUGAUCAUGGCUCAGAUUGAACGCUGGCGGCAGGCCUAACACAUGCAAGUCGAACGGUAACAGGAAGCAGCUUGCUGCUUUGCUGACGAGUGGCGGACGGGUGAGUAAUGUCUGGGAAACUGCCUGAUGGAGGGGGAUAACUACUGGAAACGGUGGCUAAUACCGCAUAACGUCGCAAGACCAAAGAGGGGGACCUUCGGGCCUCUUGCCAUCAGAUGUGCCCAGAUGGGAUUAGCUUGUUGGUGAGGUAACGGCUCACCAAGGCGACGAUCCCUAGCUGGUCUGAGAGGAUGACCAGCCACACUGGAACUGAGACACGGUCCAGACUCCUACGGGAGGCAGCAGUGGGGAAUAUUGCACAAUGGGCGCAAGCCUGAUGCAGCCAUGCCGCGUGUAUGAAGAAGGCCUUCGGGUUGUAAAGUACUUUCAGCGGGGAGGAAGGUGUUGUGGUUAAUAACCACAGCAAUUGACGUUACCCGCAGAAGAAGCACCGGCUAACUCCGUGCCAGCAGCCGCGGUAAUACGGAGGGUGCAAGCGUUAAUCGGAAUUACUGGGCGUAAAGCGCACGCAGGCGGUCUGUCAAGUCGGAUGUGAAAUCCCCGGGCUCAACCUGGGAACUGCAUUCGAAACUGGCAGGCUUGAGUCUUGUAGAGGGGGGUAGAAUUCCAGGUGUAGCGGUGAAAUGCGUAGAGAUCUGGAGGAAUACCGGUGGCGAAGGCGGCCCCCUGGACAAAGACUGACGCUCAGGUGCGAAAGCGUGGGGAGCAAACAGGAUUAGAUACCCUGGUAGUCCACGCCGUAAACGAUGUCUACUUGGAGGUUGUGCCCUUGAGGCGUGGCUUCCGGAGCUAACGCGUUAAGUAGACCGCCUGGGGAGUACGGCCGCAAGGUUAAAACUCAAAUGAAUUGACGGGGGCCCGCACAAGCGGUGGAGCAUGUGGUUUAAUUCGAUGCAACGCGAAGAACCUUACCUGGUCUUGACAUCCACAGAACUUUCCAGAGAUGGAUUGGUGCCUUCGGGAACUGUGAGACAGGUGCUGCAUGGCUGUCGUCAGCUCGUGUUGUGAAAUGUUGGGUUAAGUCCCGCAACGAGCGCAACCCUUAUCCUUUGUUGCCAGCGGUUAGGCCGGGAACUCAAAGGAGACUGCCAGUGAUAAACUGGAGGAAGGUGGGGAUGACGUCAAGUCAUCAUGGCCCUUACGACCAGGGCUACACACGUGCUACAAUGGCGCAUACAAAGAGAAGCGACCUCGCGAGAGCAAGCGGACCUCAUAAAGUGCGUCGUAGUCCGGAUUGGAGUCUGCAACUCGACUCCAUGAAGUCGGAAUCGCUAGUAAUCGUGGAUCAGAAUGCCACGGUGAAUACGUUCCCGGGCCUUGUACACACCGCCCGUCACACCAUGGGAGUGGGUUGCAAAAGAAGUAGGUAGCUUAACCUUCGGGAGGGCGCUUACCACUUUGUGAUUCAUGACUGGGGUGAAGUCGUAACAAGGUAACCGUAGGGGAACCUGCGGUUG